This 505-nucleotide ribosomal RNA is filed under the name uncultured bacterium. RNAcentral's name for it is "bacterial SSU rRNA". It matches the Rfam family "Bacterial small subunit ribosomal RNA", at positions 28 to 533 of the family's 1533-position model. The record is from RNAcentral.
GACGAACGCUGGCGGCGUGCCUAAUACAUGCAAGUCGAACGGGGAACACAGACGGAAGUUUUCGGAUGGAAGGAAGUGUUCUUAGUGGCGGACGGGUGAGUAACGCGUGAGCAAUCUGCCCAUAAGAGGGGGAUAACAGUUAGAAAUGACUGCUAAUACCGCAUAAGACCACACUACCGCAUGGUAGAGGGGUCAAAGAUUUAUCGCUUAUGGAGGAGCUCGCGUCCCAUUAGGUAGUUGGUAGGGUAACAGCCUACCAAGCCUGCGAUGGGUAGCCGGCCUGAGAGGGUGAACGGCCACACUGGAACUGAGAGACGGUCCAGACUCCUACGGGAGGCAGCAGUAGGGAAUAUUGGGCAAUGGGGGAACCCUGACCCAGCAACGCCGCGUGAGGGAAGAAGGCCUAACGGUUGUAAACCUCUGUCAUAUGGGAAGAAGGAAUGACAGUACCAUAUGAGGAAGCUCCGGCUAACUACGUGCCAGCAGCCGCGGUAAUACGUAGCGU